GAUUUCUUCCAUCUUCAUCCUCUUAUCUCACUGAUUUCUCUUUUCCAUCUCUCUCCCCUGUCGAACUCAUGAAUUUUGUGGCUUUUAUUUAGGGGUUUCACUAAGCUUAACAAAGCAGACUUUACUAAGUUGAGGCAAGAGAAGCGUGUUGCUCCUACGUCCAUCUUCUCCGACUCCCUCUUUCUCUCUCCCACGGCUCCAUGUCUCUUCAUCUCCAUACUGGCUAUGUCAAUGGUAGAAGAAUUGAACGUGUGAAGAAGAACCAGAGGAGGUAUGCGACUGCCGUAAGCGAAUAGAGGUUGUGGAGGCUGGAGUAAGAGAACAAAGGCUUGAGGCGGAUGCUCUAGAGGCUGGAGGCGCUGCAUGCGGAGGCUGGAGGCGGACGCUCUGGUAGCGGCGGCUUAUGUUUAGGUUAAGCUUAAUUAUGUUUUGGUUAGUUAAUUAGUUUUAAACCCGGUUUGUAUGUAAACUGGUUUAAUUUAUAAACUGAAAACAUUUGUAAUCUUCUGGUUUAAUUUGUAAACCGAAAUCAGGUGUAAACCAAAUUUUUAAUAUCAACCGAAAUCAUUUGCAAA
Brassica napus (rape) is the source of this 575-nucleotide long non-coding RNA. RefSeq lists it as uncharacterized. The transcript has 2 exons. The record is from RefSeq and is a predicted model, not a curated record. NCBI's taxonomy places the organism in Eukaryota, Viridiplantae, Streptophyta, Magnoliopsida, Brassicales, Brassicaceae.